GUGUCAGCAGCCGCGGUAAUACGGAGGGGGCCAGCGUUGUUCGGAAUCAUUGGGCGUAAAGGGCGCGUAGGUGGCCGCGCAAGUCGGAGGUGAAAUCCCUCGGCCCAACCGAGGAACUGCCUCUGAAACUGCGCGGCUCGAGUCCCGGAGAGGGCAGUGGAAUUCCCAGUGUAGCGGUGAAAUGCGUAGAUAUUGGGAGGAACACCGGUGGCGAAGGCGGCUGCCUGGACGGGUACUGACGCUGAUGCGCGAAAGCGUGGGGAGCAAACAGGAUUAGAAACCCGCGUAGUCC
Molecule: ribosomal RNA, 292 nt
Filed under: uncultured bacterium
Lineage: Bacteria
Description: partial 16S ribosomal RNA
Rfam family: Bacterial small subunit ribosomal RNA
Source: RNAcentral